UUCAAGACCAAGAGAGGGUAGAAAUUAACAAAAUAGUUCUGAAAUCUCUCAAUUUAAAAAUUUCUUAAAAUUAGAAUGAAUCUUUCCUAAAAAUCUUUUUUGAAGCUUAAAUCUGGAAUUCCAAUUCCAGAUGUUUUUUUUCAAUUUCCAUGUGCAUACAUAUUAUUUAAAACAUGUCAAACCAGAGCAUGGAUCAUGCCUAUUUAUAAUCAGCAAUGCCAGAAAGAAAGAAAAACAUUAUGAGGAAAUUUAUUCACACACAUAAGAUUCUCAGAGUAACUUGAACAGCCUGCAAAAUUCAAGAAUGCUAAGUGUAUUCAUUCAAAAGUUUCAAUGACUAAAAGUAGCUUACAGUUCAACAGUAUGUACCAUCUAUAUGGAAUAUCUCUUCCUAAACAUCUGGGAUAAUACCUAUACAAAUAAAAAGAUGAAAUUGUUAUCUUCUACUUCAUACAUGGAUUAACAGAAAGAUUUUUUGUAAAAUCUCAUUUUGAUUACAUCACUGAUAUGUUUGAAUUUCAGUUAUCUCCAAUAUCAAACUUAAACUCAUUAGUGGAAGCAAUGCAGUCCUUCUCUGCUCCCCUUCCCACCUUCUACUCACUAGCUUCUCAUUAACUCUAAUUCAGCAAGUUUUUAUUAAACAAUGAUAAUUUGCUAGACUCUGUGUGAAGUGCUACAGAAAAGGGAAGGAAAAGGAGUAGAUACUACCUCUGUAUUCUAGGAGUUACUAUUUAAUGAAGAAAAUCAAAACAUGUAUAACUAACUCAAGGCAGAAUGUGAUAAAUAACAGUCAAAUCACCCAAUAAGUCAUACGGGAGCUCAGAGGAUGGAGAGUGGCAUUCCCUUUGCGGGGAAAAACAAAAGUAUUUCAGCCUGCUGAGACUCUCUGUUGUAGCAGGUAAUUAUACUCAUGAUGUCCUGGCCAUUACUUUUCCGUUUUGUUUUUUUUUUUUUUUAAGACAGAGUCUCGCUCUUAACUCCCAGGCCGGAGUGCGAUGGCACAAUCUCCACCCACUGCAACCUCCACCUUCCAGGUUCAAGCGAUUCUCCUGCUUCAGCCUCCGGAAUAGCUGGGAUUACAGAAUUUAGCAGAAGGAGCUGCAGACAUUGGAUUCACACAACUAAAAACACAGAAGUUCCAGCUCUCUGACUUUAUGAUCCUGUCCUUCUGGCCUCUCAACAAGAGAGAUGAGAGGUGAAUGUUGCUGAAAUUUGAGGAUCUCCAUUUUGAAGGUCAUCUUUUUCUUCAAAUGAUUGCAGUUUGAAAAAUAACGGGGCUCCUGAGGGAAAGAGGAGCUAGAGAAAGAAGACCUGUGACUAAAAGAUUAAAAUAAAAACUGUUUCAAAG
RNAcentral lists this long non-coding RNA (1348 nucleotides) under Homo sapiens (human). Its description in RNAcentral is "HSALNT0140237". Lineage: Eukaryota; Metazoa; Chordata; Mammalia; Primates; Hominidae. The record is from RNAcentral.